This 604-nucleotide ribosomal RNA is filed under the name uncultured Lachnospiraceae bacterium. RNAcentral's name for it is "bacterial SSU rRNA". It matches the Rfam family "Bacterial small subunit ribosomal RNA", at positions 67 to 690 of the family's 1533-position model. The record is from RNAcentral. Lineage: Bacteria; Bacillati; Bacillota; Clostridia; Lachnospirales; Lachnospiraceae.
CUUCGGAUUGAAGUUGUUUAUGACUGAGUGGCGGACGGGUGAGUAACGCGUGGGUAACCUGCCUUGUACUGGGGGAUAGCAGCUGGAAACGGCUGGUAAUACCGCAUAAGCGCACAAUGUUGCAUGACAUGGUGUGAAAAACUCCGGUGGUAUAAGAUGGACCCGCGUCUGAUUAGCUAGUUGGUGAGAUAACAGCCCACCAAGGCGACGAUCAGUAGCCGACCUGAGAGGGUGACCGGCCACAUUGGGACUGAGACACGGCCCAGACUCCUACGGGAGGCAGCAGUGGGGAAUAUUGCACAAUGGAGGAAACUCUGAUGCAGCGACGCCGCGUGAGUGAAGAAGUAUUUCGGUAUGUAAAGCUCUAUCAGCAGGGAAGAUAGUGACGGUACCUGACUAAGAAGCUCCGGCUAAAUACGUGCCAGCAGCCGCGGUAAUACGUAUGGAGCAAGCGUUAUCCGGAUUUACUGGGUGUAAAGGGAGUGUAGGUGGCCAUGCAAGUCAGAAGUGAAAAUCCGGGGCUCAACCCCGGAACUGCUUUUGAAACUGUAAGGCUGGAGUGCAGGAGGGGUGAGUGGAAUUCCUAGUGUAGCGGUGAAAUGCG